AUUUUCUGCCACCGAAUACAUUAGCAUGGGAUAAUGGAAUAGGACCCUGUCCUCCUAUUUUCAGUUGGUUUUGGCAGCGCGAGGACUAGGGUAAUGAUUAAUAGGGAUAGUUGGGGGCAUUAAUAUUUAAUUGUCAGAGGUGAAAUUCUUGGAUUUAUGAAAGAUUAACUUCUGCGAAAGCAUCUGCCAAGGAUGUUUUCAUUAAUCAAGAACGAAAGUUAGGGGAUCGAAGACGAUCAGAUACCGUCGUAGUCUUAACCAUAAACGAUGCCGACCAGCGAUUAGGAGACGUUGAAUACAAAACACCACCAUCGGCGCGGUCGUCCUUGGCGCGUUCGUGUUCACGCACGGGCGCGCGAGGGCGGCUUAGCCCGGUGGCACCGGUGAAUGACUCCCUA
RNAcentral lists this ribosomal RNA (398 nucleotides) under Acanthamoeba sp. MMN-2011/T4. RNAcentral's name for it is "SSU rRNA". It matches the Rfam family "Eukaryotic small subunit ribosomal RNA", at positions 784 to 1082 of the family's 1831-position model. RNAcentral also lists the same sequence under 1 other name. The record is from RNAcentral. Lineage: Eukaryota; Discosea; Longamoebia; Acanthamoebidae.